AGUGAACGCUGGCGGUAGGCCUAACACAUGCAAGUCGAACGGCAGCACAGUAAGAGCUUGCUCUUACGGGUGGCGAGUGGCGGACGGGUGAGGAAUACAUCGGAAUCUACUUUUUCGUGGGGGAUAACGUAGGGAAACUUACGCUAAUACCGCAUACGACCUACGGGUGAAAGCAGGGGAUCUUCGGACCUUGCGCGAUUGAAUGAGCCGAUGUCGGAUUAGCUAGUUGGCGGGGUAAAGGCCCACCAAGGCGACGAUCCGUAGCUGGUCUGAGAGGAUGAUCAGCCACACUGGAACUGAGACACGGUCCAGACUCCUACGGGAGGCAGCAGUGGGGAAUGUUGGACAAUGGGCGCAAGCCUGAUGCAGCCAUACCGCGUGGGUGAAGAAGGCCUUCGGGUUGUAAAGCCCUGUUGUUGGGAAAGAAAAGCAGCAGGUUAAUACCCCGCUGUUCUGACGGUACCCAAAGAAUAAGCACCGGCUAACUUCGUG
Molecule: ribosomal RNA, 492 nt
Filed under: uncultured bacterium
Lineage: Bacteria
Description: partial 16S ribosomal RNA
Rfam family: Bacterial small subunit ribosomal RNA
Source: RNAcentral